CACUCAAGGUCACCAUCACAGAGAGAAGGGUUUCCAGCACACCUGCUUAGCCACACAGGUGUCUCCAAUUAUUGUGGCUGAUUAUGCCGGUGCUCAGGUUGAAGGUUUAAGCUAAUGGCAAAGCUUCGUGAACCAAAAUAACUGGGUGUGUCCUGCGAUGUUAAAUUUCCAUUGUGUUAUAGCCAACAUCAGCUGGUCGACUUGUUGGUUGUGCUCCAAGGCGUUCCUCAGGGCUUCCUCAGUGCUGAGCAGCCGUUGGCGCAGACGGGUCACCUCCGAGUCCAGAGCCGAGGGGUCUAGCAUCGAGUACCGCCGGUGGUCAGGGGAGGAUCGUUCCCGACCCUGAAAGAACCGCACAAGCUAACUGGUGGAAGACCCUGCAACAGACUGUCAUUCCAAAGAAACAAAGGUGACGUGACGAAGAGCGGAAAUCAGCCCAUAAGAAAAGGAAAACAGAGAAAUCUAUGCAGGUCCUGGAGAUGACCAAGUGCAUUGCAGAGGAUUUACAGUACAAACAUGUGACAAAGUAUGUGGACAGCAACAGAUUGUUCAACAGUUUGGCUCCCAGUGAAGAUGCUACAAUGACUCUGAGUAUUUUUUUCUCAUUGGUAUUUUUGGAAAACUUAUAACACAUAACUGCAAACAAAGUUUGGAUGUGUGCAUACAGGGUGUAAUUUGUUGGGAUUUACUGCUGCUAAAACGUGCAGCCAGCGAGGAUGAUGUCCUAACUAAUUUGCCAUUAAAUGAAAAACCACAUCUGAUUUCAAUCUGGCCUAUUUCGCUUUCAGUCUCAACUCUUUGGAUAGCGCUGGACCACGUCCAGUGUGGCUGCAAAUUUUAAAAUGCUCUGCUCUAACCACUCAGACGAGCACAUGCUGUAUGUGAAAACGUGUCAAAUCAGCCGCCCAUCAACUUGAGUUUUAUUUUGUGGAAGAGGCGAAGCAGAUUUAGAGAUUAGGACGGAUGAUGCACGAAUUUUGCAUUGGUGUGGGCUGCGUGCAAGAAGACAAUGCAUGAGGUGCGCCUCCCUUCAGGUCGUUUAUGCUGAACGUUCUCCCUCAGACACGUCGGGAAGUUAUAGUAAAACCCUCCAACAAAAUCAAAAGAACAAACACGUCCCGGUCACGUUCCCAACCUGAUGUGAUGCUUUCAGGCUUGGAUACUGCAGAGUGUUCAGCUGAAAACUGCUGCUGGUUGGACCAGGCUGAUCUGUGUAAGAGGUUGAGGUCUAUGGUUAAACUGUACAUGUGUAAAUCCAGGUGACGAGAACGUGACACUAAAAACUCCAGCUGUGCCUAAAGCAACCCAGAAAUGCAAACCUUGAAGGGGUGAUGGGCCAAAUUUAAA
Haplochromis burtoni (Burton's mouthbrooder) is the source of this 1347-nucleotide long non-coding RNA. RefSeq lists it as uncharacterized. Lineage: Eukaryota; Metazoa; Chordata; Actinopteri; Cichliformes; Cichlidae. The transcript is spliced from 3 exons. The record is from RefSeq and is a predicted model, not a curated record.